UAAUGCAGUCGAGCGAAUGACGAGGAGCUUGCUCCUCUGAUUUAGCGGCGGACGGGUGAGUAACACGUGGGUAAUCUGCCUGUAAGACGGGGAUAACUCCGGGAAACCGGGGCUAAUACCGGAUAAUAAGAAGAAACGCAUGUUUCUUUUUUGAAAGUCGGUUUCGGCUGACACUUACAGAUGAGCCCGCGGCGCAUUAGCUAGUUGGUGAGGUAACGGCUCACCAAGGCGACGAUGCGUAGCCGACCUGAGAGGGUGAUCGGCCACACUGGGACUGAGACACGGCCCAGACUCCUACGGGAGGCAGCAGUAGGGAAUCUUCGGCAAUGGGCGAAAGCCUGACCGAGCAACGCCGCGUGAGCGAUGAAGGCCUUCGGGUCGUAAAGCUCUGUUGUUAGAGAAGAACAAGUACGAGAGUAACUGCUCGUACCUUGACGGUACCUAACCAGAAAGCCACGGCUAACUACGUGCCAGCAGCCGCGGUAAUACGUAGGUGGCAAGCGUUAUCCGGAAUUAUUGGGCGUAAAGCGCGCGCAGGCGGUCUCUUAAGUCUGAUGUGAAAGCCCACGGCUCAACCGUGGAGGGUCAUUGGAAACUGGGAGACUUGAGUGCAGGAGAGAAAAGUGGAAUUCCACGUGUAGCGGUGAAAUGCGUAGAGAUGUGGAGGAACACCAGUGGCGAAGGCGGCUUUUUGGCCUGUAACUGACGCUGAGGCGCGAAAGCG
This 724-nucleotide ribosomal RNA is filed under the name Fictibacillus barbaricus. RNAcentral's name for it is "bacterial SSU rRNA". It matches the Rfam family "Bacterial small subunit ribosomal RNA", at positions 52 to 761 of the family's 1533-position model. The record is from RNAcentral. Lineage: Bacteria; Bacillati; Bacillota; Bacilli; Caryophanales; Fictibacillaceae.